RNAcentral lists this ribosomal RNA (333 nucleotides) under uncultured Bacillus sp. Its description in RNAcentral is "bacterial SSU rRNA". It matches the Rfam family "Bacterial small subunit ribosomal RNA", at positions 350 to 675 of the family's 1533-position model. Lineage: Bacteria; Bacillati; Bacillota; Bacilli; Caryophanales; Bacillaceae. The record is from RNAcentral.
AGCAGUAGGGAAUCUUCCACAAUGGACGAAAGUCUGAUGGAGCAACGCCGCGUGAGUGAAGAAGGGUUUCGGCUCGUAAAACUCUGUUGUUAAAGAAGAACACCUUUGAGAGUAACUGUUCAAGGGUUGACGGUAUUUAACCAGAAAGCCACGGCUAACUACGUGCCAGCAGCCGCGGUAAUACGUAGGUGGCAAGCGUUGUCCGGAUUUAUUGGGCGUAAAGCGAGCGCAGGCGGUUUUUUAAGUCUGAUGUGAAAGCCUUCGGCUUAACCGGAGAAGUGCAUCGGAAACUGGGAGACUUGAGUGCAGAAGAGGACAGUGGAACUCCAUGUG